Molecule: ribosomal RNA, 116 nt
Filed under: Viridibacillus arvi
Lineage: Bacteria; Bacillati; Bacillota; Bacilli; Caryophanales; Caryophanaceae
Source: RNAcentral
UCUAGUGAUGAUGGCAAAGAGGUCACACCCGUUCCCAUGCCGAACACGGAAGUUAAGCUCUUUAGCGCCGAUUGUAGUUGGGGGUUUCCCCCUGUGAGAGUAGGACGUUGCUAGGC